RNAcentral lists this long non-coding RNA (284 nucleotides) under Pan troglodytes (chimpanzee). RNAcentral's name for it is "long non-coding RNA NONPTRT001980". Lineage: Eukaryota; Metazoa; Chordata; Mammalia; Primates; Hominidae. The record is from RNAcentral.
GGGUCACACUGUGGGGUCGAGGAGAGACGGGUGUGGUCAGGUGAAGGGUCACACUGUGGGGUCCAGGAGAGAUGGGUGUGGUCAGUGUGGAGGGUCACGCUGUGGGGUCCAGGAGAGAUGGGUGUGGUCAGGUGAAGGGUCACACUGUGGGGUCCAGGAGAGAUGGGGGUGGUCAGGUGAAGGGUCACACUGUGGGGUCCAGGAGAGAUGGGUGUGGUCAGGUGAAGGGUCACACUGUGGGGUCCAGGAGAGAUGGGUGUGGUCAGGUGAAGGGUCACGCUGUG